RNAcentral lists this ribosomal RNA (630 nucleotides) under Triticum aestivum (bread wheat). RNAcentral describes it as "partial small subunit ribosomal RNA". Lineage: Eukaryota; Viridiplantae; Streptophyta; Magnoliopsida; Poales; Poaceae. The record is from RNAcentral.
AUGUUCAUGCAGAUAAUGAAAAUGACUUUUAUGUCUCACGAUGCUGCGUAUGAUUUCUACAACAGCUAUGCUAGAGAUAAUGGUUUCAGCAUUAGAAAGAAUAAGGUCAGGUAUAGCAAAACCGAGUCACAUCAUAUGCGUUAUAGGCGGUUUGUUUGUUCUAGACAAGGAAAACGUGACAACAAGUUGCUAACCGAGGAAGGACAUAGCCGUAGGCUCAGAGCCCAGAUACGCUGCUUUUGCGAAGUGCACCUGACUGUCAAGCUUGACCAAAAGCGUGGGGUUUGGUAUGUUGAAAGUUUUGAGAACAAGCAUAGCCAUAUGUUGGCAGGACCGGACGAGGUACCUUUUCUUUGGUCCCACAGAAAAAUCAAAGAGUACCAGAAGCAUGAGAUAAUGUCCAUGGGAGCUGCAGGGAUUAGAAUUCACGACAUGAUGGAUUCCUUCAUCAGCAAACAUGUAUGGUACGGCGGUCUUGGUUUUACCAGGCGUGAAAUAUAUAGCCUUUGUGCCAGGGAGAAGAGGAAGCUGCUUUCAAAAGGUGAUGCUGCCACAGCCAUAGGCAUCAUGGCCAGUAGGAAACAGAGGGAUUCUAGCUUCUUUUUCGAGUACAUGCUAGAUAAGGAAUGA